RNAcentral lists this ribosomal RNA (400 nucleotides) under uncultured bacterium. RNAcentral's name for it is "bacterial SSU rRNA". It matches the Rfam family "Bacterial small subunit ribosomal RNA", at positions 28 to 430 of the family's 1533-position model. The record is from RNAcentral.
GAUCAACGCUGGCGGCGUGCAUGAGACAUGCAAGUCGAACGGACACUCACGGGCUUGCCUGUGAGUGUUAGUGGCGGACGGCUGAGUAACGCGUAGGUGACCUGCCCCGAAGUGGGGAAUAACUGCCCGAAAGGGUGGCUAAUACCGCAUGUGGUGAUGCGUUCAGACGCAUCAGUAAAGCCGCAAGGCGCUUCGGGAGGGGCCUGCGUCCGAUUAGCUCGUGGUGAGGUAACGGCUCACCAAGGCGACGAUCGGUAGGUGGUCUGAGAGGACGAUCACCCAGACUGGGACUGAGACACGGCCCAGACUCCUACGGGAGGCAGCAGUCGGGAAUUUUGCGCAAUGGACGAAAGUCUGACGCAGCAACGCCGCGUGAGGGAUGACGGCCUCGGUUGUAACC